AAGAAUCAUCUGAGGCUGGAAAUGAUGUUAUUCAAAAUUCAACCAACUCCACAAACAACGUUGGUGAAGAGGCUACUGAGACUUCAAAUUUAACGUCUCAUGCAUCAGAGGAAGCUAAAAGCCAAAUUUGAACAUAAAUCACCUGUAUUUUCUUGGCAGAACCUACUCGCGAAAUGUUGGAAAUCUUAUCCAGCAGGAAGCUCAAUCAUGCAACUUCUUAGGUGCUCAAACACUUGUUCCUACAUACCACUUGUUUUUAUUAAUUUCUUUUCUGACAGCGAAUUUUUUUUAUCGGAUGUCCCCAAGGGAACACAGUAAAUAAUUUUUUAGUCAUACAAUUUUAUAAGAUAAAUGACAAUACCAUGUUCUUGUAUUUGUCACUAUGGAGCAAUACGCUUUCUGACAUCAAUUAAUAUCA
RNAcentral lists this unclassified non-coding RNA (418 nucleotides) under Hevea brasiliensis (rubber tree). The record is from RNAcentral. Lineage: Eukaryota; Viridiplantae; Streptophyta; Magnoliopsida; Malpighiales; Euphorbiaceae.